UGGUGCAUGGUUGUCGUCAGCUCGUGUCGUGAGAUGUUGGGUUAAGUCCCGCAACGAGCGCAACCCUUAUCAUUAGUUGCUAACAUUCAGUUGAGAACUCUAAUGAGACUGCCAGUGAUAAACUGGAGGAAGGUGGGGAUGACGUCAAAUCAUCAUGCCCCUUAUGACCUGGGCUACACACGCGCUACAGUGGCCGGUACAAAGAGUUGCGAAACUGUGAAGUUAAGCUAAUCUCAUAAAGCCGGUCUCAGUUCGGAUUGGAGUCUGCAACUCGACUCCAUGAAGUCGGAAUCGCUAGUAAUCGCGGAUCAGAACGCCGCGGUGAAUACGUUCCCGGGUCUU
This 342-nucleotide ribosomal RNA is filed under the name uncultured Bacillota bacterium. RNAcentral's name for it is "bacterial SSU rRNA". It matches the Rfam family "Bacterial small subunit ribosomal RNA", at positions 1039 to 1382 of the family's 1533-position model. Lineage: Bacteria; Bacillati; Bacillota. The record is from RNAcentral.